GACGAACGCUGGCGGCGUGCUUAACACAUGCAAGUCGAACGGUAAGGCCCUUUCGGGGGUACACGAGUGGCGAACGGGUGAGUAACACGUGGGUGAUCUGCCCUGCACUUUGGGAUAAGCCUGGGAAACUGGGUCUAAUACCGGAUAGGACUACGCGAUGCAUGUCGUGUGGUGGAAAGCUUUUGCGGUGUGGGAUGGGCCCGCGGCCUAUCAGCUUGUUGGUGGGGUGAUGGCCUACCAAGGCGACGACGGGUAGCCGGCCUGAGAGGGUGUCCGGCCACACUGGGACUGAGAUACGGCCCAGACUCCUACGGGAGGCAGCAGUGGGGAAUAUUGCACAAUGGGCGCAAGCCUGAUGCAGCGACGCCGCGUGGGGGAUGACGGCCUUCGGGUUGUAAACCCCUUUCAGCACAGACGAAGCGUAAGUGACGGUAUGUGCAGAAGAAGCACUGGCCAACUACGUG
This 464-nucleotide ribosomal RNA is filed under the name uncultured bacterium. RNAcentral describes it as "partial 16S ribosomal RNA". It matches the Rfam family "Bacterial small subunit ribosomal RNA", at positions 28 to 507 of the family's 1533-position model. The record is from RNAcentral.